GAUAGAGAGCUUCGGCAGGAAAUUGAUAAUCGAGUGGCGGACGGGUGAGUAACGCGUGAGCAACCUGUCCCAGACAGGGGGAUAACACUUGGAAACAGGUGCUAAUACCGCAUAAGGACCACGGGAUCACAUGGGUUCUGGGGUAAAAGGAGCAAUCCGGUUUGGGGUGGGCUCGCGUCCGAUUAGCCAGUUGCGGGGUAACGGCCCACCAAAGCGACGAUCGGUAGCCGACCUGAGAGGGUGAACGGCCACAUUGGAACUGAGAGACGGUCCAAACUCCUACGGGAGGCAGCAGUGGGGAAUAUUGGGCAAUGGGCGAAAGCCUGACCCAGCAACGCCGCGUGAGUGAAGAAGGCCUUCGGGUUGUAAAGCUCUGUUAUAGUUGACGAAGGAAGUGACGGUAGGCUAUAAGGAAGCCCCGGCUAACUACGUGCCAGCCGCCGC
This 444-nucleotide ribosomal RNA is filed under the name uncultured bacterium. RNAcentral's name for it is "bacterial SSU rRNA". It matches the Rfam family "Bacterial small subunit ribosomal RNA", at positions 68 to 518 of the family's 1533-position model. The record is from RNAcentral.